UCCGGUUGAUCCUGCCAGAGGCCGCUGCUAUCCGGCUGGGACUAAGCCAUGCUAGUCUAGGGGCUUGUACUCCUUCGGGGGUGCAAGCACCGGCGGACGGCUCAGUAACACGUGGACAACCUGCCCUCGGGUGGGGGAUAACCCCGGGAAACUGGGGCUAAUCCCCCAUAGGUGAUGGGUGCUGGAAUGCCCCAUCUCCGAAAGCGCUUAGCGCCCGAGGAUGGGUCUGCGGCGGAUUAGGUAGUUGGUGGGGUAACGGCCCACCAAGCCUAAGAUCCGUACGGGCUGUGGGAGCAGGAGCCCGGAGAUGGACCCUGAGACAAGGGUCCAGGCCCUACGGGGCGCAGCAGGCGCGAAACCUCCGCAAUGCGGGAAACCGCGACGGGGUUAGCCGGAGUGCCCGUGCAUUGCACGGGCUGUCGGGGUGCCUAAACAGCACCCCAUAGCAAGGGCCGGGCAAGGCCGGUGGCAGCCGCCGCGGUAAGACCGGCGGCCCGAGUGGCGGCCACUCUUAUUGGGCCUAAAGCGUCCGUAGCCGGCCCAGUAAGUCCCCCGGGAAAUCUGGUCGCUUAACGAUCAGACUUCCGGGGGAUACUGCUGGGCUAGGGA
Molecule: ribosomal RNA, 609 nt
Filed under: uncultured archaeon
Lineage: Archaea
Description: bacterial SSU rRNA
Rfam family: Archaeal small subunit ribosomal RNA
Source: RNAcentral